CCUACGGGAGGCAGCAGUGGGGAAUAUUGCACAAUGGGGGAAACCCUGAUGCAGCGACGCCGCGUGAGUGAAGAAGUAAUUCGUUAUGUAAAGCUCUAUCAGCAGGGAAGAAAAUGACGGUACCUGAGUAAGAAGCCCCGGCUAACUACGUGCCAGCAGCCGCGGUAAUACGUAGGGGGCAAGCGUUAUCCGGAUUUACUGGGUGUAAAGGGAGCGUAGACGGCUGUGCAAGCCAGAUGUGAAAGCCCGGGGCUCAACCCCGGGACUGCAUUUGGAACUGUGUGGCUGGAGUGUCGGAGAGGAUAGUGGAAUUCCAGGUGUAGGAGUGAAAUCCGUAGAUAUCUGGAGGAACAUCAGUGGCGAAGGCGACUAUCUGGCACAUAACUGACGCUGAGGAGCGAAAGCGUGGGUAGCAAACAGGAUUAGAUACCCGAGUAGUC
RNAcentral lists this ribosomal RNA (440 nucleotides) under uncultured bacterium. RNAcentral describes it as "partial 16S ribosomal RNA". It matches the Rfam family "Bacterial small subunit ribosomal RNA", at positions 338 to 795 of the family's 1533-position model. The record is from RNAcentral.